Long non-coding RNA from Monopterus albus (swamp eel), 639 nucleotides. RefSeq lists it as uncharacterized. The transcript has 2 exons. Lineage: Eukaryota; Metazoa; Chordata; Actinopteri; Synbranchiformes; Synbranchidae. The record is from RefSeq and is a predicted model, not a curated record.
UGUACCACCUGUUGAACCACUGUGUUCCGUGUUUCUAUAUAGCAUGUGGCUUAAGAUGCUACACAUGCACAGCUGCUGACCCACAUUCCUGCACAGACACCACAUCUUGUUCUUUCAUCUUCAACCGCUGUUACUCUUUGAGGGUAGAAGGUUACAAUGUGGUCACCAAAGGCUGCCAGAAUAGCAUAACAUGUGGAGGCGCCAUAGCUUGCUGUGAGGGGGACCUGUGCAACAGCGCCAUACCUACUGGUCCCAGUAUCAUCCUCCUGCUGGUAUCUUCAUCCGUCAUCACACUCUUACUUUGAGCCUUUGGAAGAGCUACAGCUGUGAAUAUUUACUGUAGCAGUUCCCAUGUAACACUUUUGAUUUGUACAACUUUAAAAGUCAAACUUUUCAUUUUCCCUCCUGCUAUGAGUCAUUUGGACCAAUUUUCAGUCGACUAAAAUACUGAUUUCCUUCUCUUUUAUCCCUGGAAUUCAUUAGUGUCCUGAUUUUAAGUGUAAAAUGUGUCUGUCCCCUGAUCUGUAGUGGAAGGUCUGUACUGAAUUUGUAUACAUUGAUGUUUGUAGAUCAAUUUGACCUGCAUGUGUUCAUGUAGUCGUAUGUAAAGGCAAAAUAAAAAGGGUUAGUUAUUGACAA